AUGUUUGCUUCAGCUCCACUGCUGCUGCUGGCUCUCGCCCCCUCUGUGUUCUGUGCUACUGAGCUCCUCCAGCCACACUCAGUGGUUAUAAAGCCAGGAGAGACUUUAACAAUCACCUGUAGAGUAUCUGGAGCUUCUAUCAUUGAUAGCAGCAGUCACUAUGGAACAGCUUGGAUUCGACAACCUGCAGGGAAAGGUCUGGAGUGGAUCAACAUUAUUUAUUAUAAUGGGGGUAUUAGUAAGAAAGAUUCACUUAAAGACAAGUUUGUCAUCUCUCGAGACACAUCCAGCAGCACAGUAACAUUAAUAGGGCAGAACCUGUAG
Molecule: non-coding RNA, 324 nt
Organism: Ictalurus punctatus (channel catfish)
Lineage: Eukaryota; Metazoa; Chordata; Actinopteri; Siluriformes; Ictaluridae
Source: the annotation of a RefSeq genome assembly